GACGAACGCUGGCGGCGUGCUUAACACAUGCAAGUCGAGCGGUAAGGCCCCUUCGGGGGUACACGAGCGGCGAACGGGUGAGUAACACGUGGGUGACCUGCCCUCAGCUCUGGGAUAAGCCUGGGAAACUGGGUCUAAUACCGGAUAUGACUCCAUGACGCAUGUCGUGGGGUGGAAAGCCUUGUGCGGCUGAGGAUGGGCCCGCGGCCUAUCAGCUUGUUGGUGGGGNGAUGGCCUACCAGGGCGACGACGGGUAGCCGGCCUGAGAGGGCGACCGGCCACACUGGGACUGAGACACGGCCCAGACUCCUACGGGAGGCAGCAGUGGGGAAUCUUGCGCAAUGGGCGAAAGCCUGACGCAGCGACGCCGCGUGAGGGAUGACGGCCU
This 388-nucleotide ribosomal RNA is filed under the name uncultured bacterium. RNAcentral describes it as "bacterial SSU rRNA". It matches the Rfam family "Bacterial small subunit ribosomal RNA", at positions 28 to 417 of the family's 1533-position model. The record is from RNAcentral.